RNAcentral lists this ribosomal RNA (253 nucleotides) under uncultured bacterium. RNAcentral describes it as "partial 16S ribosomal RNA". It matches the Rfam family "Bacterial small subunit ribosomal RNA", at positions 524 to 776 of the family's 1533-position model. The record is from RNAcentral.
UACGAAGGGGGCUAGCGUUGCUCGGAAUCACUGGGCGUAAAGCGCACGUAGGCGGACUCUUAAGUCAGGGGUGAAAUCCUGGAGCUCAACUCCAGAACUGCCCUUGAUACUGGGAGCCUUGAGUUCGGGAGAGGUGAGUGGAACUGCGAGUGUAGAGGUGAAAUUCGUAGAUAUUCGCAAGAACACCAAUGGCGAAGGCGGCUCACUGGCCCGAUACUGACGCUGAGGUGCGAAAGCGUGGGGAGCAAACAGG